This 501-nucleotide ribosomal RNA is filed under the name uncultured bacterium. Its description in RNAcentral is "partial 16S ribosomal RNA". It matches the Rfam family "Bacterial small subunit ribosomal RNA", at positions 30 to 523 of the family's 1533-position model. The record is from RNAcentral.
AUUGAACGCUGGCGGCAUGCCUUACACAUGCAAGUCGAACGGCAGCACGGGUGCUUGCACCUGGUGGCGAGUGGCGAACGGGUGAGUAAUAUAUCGGAACGUACCUUAUUGUGGGGGAUAACGCAGCGAAAGCUGUGCUAAUACCGCAUAAUCCCUAAGGGGGAAAGCGGGGGACCGUAAGGCCUCGCGCAAUUAGAGCGGCCGAUACCUGAUUAGCUAGUUGGUGAGGUAAAGGCUCACCAAGGCAACGAUCAGUAGCUGGUCUGAGAGGACGAUCAGCCACACUGGGACUGAGACACGGCCCAGACUCCGACGUGAGGCAGCAGUGGGGAAUUUUGGACAAUGGGGGCAACCCUGAUCCAGCAAUGCCGCGUGAGUGAAGAAGGCCUUCGGGUUGUAAAGCUCUUUUGUCAGGGAAGAAACAGCAGCUCUAACACAGUUUGCGAAUGACGGUACCUGAAGAAUAAGCACCGGCUAACUACGUGCCAGCAGCCGCAGUAA